UGGGGAAUAUUGCGCAAUGGGGGAAACCCUGACGCAGCGACGCCGCGUGCGGGAUGAAGGCCUUCGGGUUGUAAACCGCUUUUGAUUGGGAGCAAGCCUUUUGGGUGAGUGUACCUUUCGAAUAAGCGCCGGCUAACUACGUGCCAGCAGCCGCGGUAAUACGUAUGGAGCAAGCGUUAUCCGGAUUCAUUGGGCGUAAAGCGCUCGUAGGCGGUCUGUUAGGUCGGCAAGUUAAAUCCGGGGGCUCAACCCCCGUCCGCUUCCGAUACCGGCAGACUGGAGUUUGGUAGGGGAAGGUGGAAUUCCUAGUGUAGCGGUGGAAUGCGCAGAUAUUAGGAAGAACACCGGUGGCGAAGGCGGCCUUCUGGGCCAUAACUGACGCUGAGGAGCGAAAGCUAGGGGAGCGAACAGG
Molecule: ribosomal RNA, 412 nt
Filed under: Verrucomicrobiota bacterium
Lineage: Bacteria; Pseudomonadati; Verrucomicrobiota
Description: Verrucomicrobia bacterium partial 16S ribosomal RNA
Rfam family: Bacterial small subunit ribosomal RNA
Source: RNAcentral